GCCGGGGUGGCCGAGAAUCUAGGCGACGGCUCGCAGAGCCGUUUACGUUGGUGUAAAUCCAGCCCCCGGCUCCA
RNAcentral lists this transfer RNA (74 nucleotides) under Candidatus Bathyarchaeota archaeon. RNAcentral describes it as "tRNA-Cys". It matches the Rfam family "tRNA". Rfam says of the family: Transfer RNA (tRNA) molecules are approximately 80 nucleotides in length. Lineage: Archaea; Thermoproteati; Candidatus Bathyarchaeota. The record is from RNAcentral.